This 364-nucleotide long non-coding RNA is filed under the name Cicer arietinum (chickpea). RNAcentral's name for it is "long non-coding RNA (CARI_LNC003327)". The record is from RNAcentral. Lineage: Eukaryota; Viridiplantae; Streptophyta; Magnoliopsida; Fabales; Fabaceae.
UCUUCUCUUCAUGGCUUGUUACCUUUGAAUCUCUCUCACUUUGAGAAGUUUCAUCUCUCUCACUUUGAGAAGUUUCAUCUUUUCCGCCCACACCGAGCUUUGAAGCUACUGUGUUUUUAGCUUGUGCAGCUUUAUCCGCUACUGCAGAUGUUGCAGAUGAGAUUUUCUCUGAAUAACUACUCUGGUUUUGAUUUGUUUUGUUUCCGCCUUGUUCGCCAUAUCCAAGCUUCGAUGCGACUGCAUUUUUAGCUGUUGCGGCUUUAUCGGCUAUUGCAGAGGUUGCAGAUGAGAUUUUUUCUGUGUAACUACUUUGGUUCGACGGUGUUUCUCCGGCUGUUCGUUGAUAUGUUUCGUUUUCGCCUUG